AGCUUUGCACAGGGGCAGUGUCAUAGUUGAUGAGGUUUAUCCGAGGCACCAUUUGAGAUUACUGUGAAUUGAAAACUUCCCCCAAUACUUCACUGUGACAAUUUGAAGUAUAGUAGGCAUUGGCAAUUUUUGACAGUCUCUAUGGAAA
Non-coding RNA from Otolemur garnettii (small-eared galago), 148 nucleotides. NCBI's taxonomy places the organism in Eukaryota, Metazoa, Chordata, Mammalia, Primates, Galagidae. The record is from Rfam.